This is a long non-coding RNA of Zonotrichia leucophrys gambelii, 1825 nucleotides long. RefSeq lists it as uncharacterized. The transcript is spliced from 4 exons. The record is from RefSeq and is a predicted model, not a curated record. Lineage: Eukaryota; Metazoa; Chordata; Aves; Passeriformes; Passerellidae.
ACUGGAGUCAGUUGGCUGCUGUGAGGAUAAGGAAGAGGCAGUGCCUGGAGGAACUGCCUACAAGAAAGCAUCAAGGAGAUACAAAACUCUAAUAAUCUAGAACCCUUGCACUGUAGUGACAAUAGAACUCUUGCAAUGCAAUGACACCAUCCAGUUUAUUCUUGCUUUAUGUUUUUGGAGUUUUUUAGGUGUAAUUAGAAUUGAUUUCAAGAGCAACAAGAAUUGGCAAGGUUCCUGGUGCUUACCUCCAGAAAGUAUAUCAUAGACAUCAAGCUUACACAGCCAUUGCUUGGAAACAGUCUCCUCUGGCAGAGAAUGCCUUUUAGAGAUACUUAAAUAUCUUGUGAGAUGGGAAGCAACAGUGCAUCCUUGGUAUUGGAGGAAAGUAAAAUUGACAUUCUCCUUCAGAGAUGGCCUCACCUGGUGCGUGAAAUGAUCUUAGAUGCUUUCUGCAUCUUAAAAUGUGUAAGCACUCUUGAAUUCUUCAGGAAGAAAGACCUUCCACAAAGACAAGAACAGAGAGGGCAUCUUCUAGCAUUGUUUUCAGUCUUCAGUACUAAAAGGAAAACAAAUUAAUACUUCCUAAGGGUGCUGUUGGUGAGAAAUGUAGCUCAAGUGUGGAAUGGCCAUGUUGGCUGUGCUGGUCAGCCCAAUGAACCUGGUGUGCUUCAGCCAGCACAAGAAGAGAGUGUCACUGCGACUGUCCAUCAGCCCUCUCCAUUGCCACACCAAAUCCACAUCAAGUCUGCUUGCCUGGGUCUGGGCUGGGAAUUCAGGUGCUGUGGGGUUGUGAAACAGCACUGCAUGGUCUGAGGGCAGGGCUGGAGCAGAGCAGCUUCAGCUGCCCCUCCCUAGCCCUGCUUCUUGGACUGCAAAAAGAUGUUCACAAUUUGCAUCAAAUUCCCAUAAGUCUGAGUUACCCCAGCCUGCUUCUAAACUAACCAUUGCAGAGCUGCCAGGCUUUCGUUCCACUUUAUGAAUGCCCUUGAUAAGAAGGUUAGGCUCUAUGAUUGGGUUUUGUUUUUUCUUUGUUGCCUGUGAAGGUGCCCAACUGAUAAUCUUAGAGAAGAAAAUCCCCUUUUCAGUCACAAAGCAGAUAACUGCCUGUGAAGUGACAGUGCAGGUCUCAGUUCUGACCUGUAAGGAGAUGAAAGAAUAUGAAAGACUAUACAAUUUUCAGUUCAUACUUAUUCAGACCUGACUGGCAUCCAAGACAUUAAGUGCAGCUGGCAACGAUGUCACGUUACAGACAACCUGCCCUUCCUGAGAUGGACUGAUAUUUCUUUGUGUGUUUUUGCCACUGACAGAAUAUCUAUGGGAUACCCUGAAAGUUUAAAAUUUGCACUUGUUUUUUAUUUGAACAUAGGCAUUUUUUCCCCAUAGAAAGAAUAAUAUUUAUUUCAUAAAAAGUAUUAUUUUGGAGCUAUAUAAUAAUUUUUAAUAGCUUGAAAUGCAUCUCUGUAAGGUUGAAUGCUUCAAAUUAAUAAUGUCAGAAUAUAAAGUUAUGGAACUUCCAACAGUUUUUCUGUAUUUUCUAAGGAGGAAAAUAGAAAUACUUUUGGUUUGUGGGCUAUUUUUGCUAAGACUAUUUACUUAGAAAACUCUUCAGCAAUUAGGGGUGCUCACAGGAUCAGUGGUUCUGGUACUGAGUAGAGAGGCAAAUCCAGACUCAUGUUAAAGAAGUAACUGUUCCUGGCAAUUUCUGAUCUCAAUUGAGAUAGAUCCAAAUUGAUAAAAUAAAGACAAAAUGCUAUGGGCUGUGAUGUUGAGUGGUAUUGUCCACUGAAUUGCAAGCUCAGAAAUAAGAUUAUCAGUUUUCCUUCCA